AACGAACGCUGGCGGCGUGGAUAAGACAUGCAAGUCGAGCGCUGAUUCCGGGGUAGCAAUAUUCCGGAGUUGGAGCGGCGCAAGGGUGCGUAACACGUGGGUAAUCUGCCGCGAAGUUUGGGAUAACUUGCUGAAAGGCGAGCUAAUACCGAAUGUGGCCUUUGGGAGACAUCUCCUGACGGCUGAAGUUGGGGACCGCAAGGCCUGACGCUUCACGAUGAACCCGCGGCCUAUCAGCUAGUUGGUGAGGUAACGGCCCACCAAGGCUAAGACGGGUAGCUGGUCUGAGAGGACGACCAGCCACACUGGAACUGAGACACGGUCCAGACACCUACGGGUGGCUG
This 344-nucleotide ribosomal RNA is filed under the name uncultured Verrucomicrobiota bacterium. RNAcentral's name for it is "bacterial SSU rRNA". It matches the Rfam family "Bacterial small subunit ribosomal RNA", at positions 29 to 351 of the family's 1533-position model. Lineage: Bacteria; Pseudomonadati; Verrucomicrobiota. The record is from RNAcentral.